This 233-nucleotide ribosomal RNA is filed under the name uncultured bacterium. RNAcentral describes it as "partial 16S ribosomal RNA". It matches the Rfam family "Bacterial small subunit ribosomal RNA", at positions 523 to 755 of the family's 1533-position model. The record is from RNAcentral.
AUACGUAGGAGGCGAGCGUUGUCCGGAUUUACUGGGUGUAAAGGGUCCGCAGGCGGACAUGUAAGUCGGUGGUGAAAUCCUUCAGCUUAACUGAAGAGCUGCCUCCGAUACUGUGUGUCUUGAAUGCACGAGAGGGCAACGGAAUUCCAGGUGUAGCGGUGAAAUGCUUAGAUAUCUGGAAGAACACCGGUUGCGAAGGCUGUUGCCUGGCGUGUCAUUGACGCUCAUGGACG